GUGAGGAAUAUUGCGCAAUGGAGGCAACUCUGACGCAGCCAUGCCGCGUGCAGGAAGAAGGCGCUACGCGUUGUAAACUGCUUUUAACCGGGAAGAAACCCCAGGACGUGUCCUGGGUUGACGGUACCGGAGGAAUAAGCACCGGCUAACUUCGUGCCAACAGCCGCGGUAAUACGAAGGGUGCAAGCGUUAUCCGGAUUCAUUGGGUUUAAAGGGUGCGUAGGCGGAGCGUUAAGUCAGUGGUGAAAUCCUGCAGCUUAACUGUAGACUUGCCAUUGAUACUGGCGCUCUUGAGUGCGCUUGAAGUGGGCGGAAUGUGUCGUGUAGCGGUGAAAUGCUUAGAUAUGGCACAGAACACCAAUUGCGAAGGCAGCUCACUAAGGCGAUACUGACGCUGAGGCACGAAAGCGUGGGGAUCGAACAGGAUUAGAAACCCCAGUAGUCC
This 445-nucleotide ribosomal RNA is filed under the name uncultured bacterium. Its description in RNAcentral is "partial 16S ribosomal RNA". It matches the Rfam family "Bacterial small subunit ribosomal RNA", at positions 354 to 796 of the family's 1533-position model. The record is from RNAcentral.